GUCUACAGCUAUGCCACCCUGAACAAACCCGAUGUCUGAUCUCAGAAGCUAAGCAGAGUCGGGCCUGGUUAGUACUUGGAUGGGAGACCACCUAGGAAGACCAGGUGCUGUAGGCA
Molecule: ribosomal RNA, 116 nt
Filed under: Pteropus alecto (black flying fox)
Lineage: Eukaryota; Metazoa; Chordata; Mammalia; Chiroptera; Pteropodidae
Source: RNAcentral